This 490-nucleotide ribosomal RNA is filed under the name uncultured bacterium. RNAcentral's name for it is "partial 16S ribosomal RNA". It matches the Rfam family "Bacterial small subunit ribosomal RNA", at positions 29 to 505 of the family's 1533-position model. The record is from RNAcentral.
AGUGAACGCUGGCGGUAGGCCUAACACAUGCAAGUCGAACGGCAGCACAGUAAGAGUUUGCUCUUACGGGUGGCGAGUGGCGGACGGGUGAGGAAUACAUCGGAAUCUACUUUUUCGUGGGGGAUAACGUAGGGAAACUUACGCUAAUACCGCAUACGACCUACGGGUGAAAGCAGGGGAUCUUCGGACCUUGCGCGAUUGAAUGAGCCGAUGUCGGAUUAGCUAGUUGGCGGGGUAAAGGCCCACCAAGGCGACGAUCCGUAGCUGGUCUGAGAGGAUGAUCAGCCACACUGGAACUGAGACACGGUCCAGACUCGUACGGGAGGCAGCAGUGGGGAAUAUUGGACAAUGGGCGCAAGCCUGAUCCAGCCAUACCGCGUGGGUGAAGAAGGCCUUCGGGUUGGAAAGCCCUUUUGUUGGGAAAGAAAAGCAGCAGGUUAAUACCCCGCUGUUCUGACGGUACCCAAAGAAUAAGCACCGGCUAACUUCG